GCCCUACGGGGGGCUGCAGUAAGGAAUAUUGGUCAAUGGGCGCAAGCCUGAACCAGCCAUGCCGCGUGCAGGAAGACGGCCCUAUGGGUUGUAAACUGCUUUUGUCAGGGAAUAAACCCCCGCUCGUGAGCGGGGCUGAAGGUACCUGAAGAAUAAGCAUCGGCUCACUCCGUGCCAGCAGCCGCGGUAAUACGGAGGAUGCAAGCGUUAUCCGGAUUCAUUGGGUUUAAAGGGUGCGCAGGCGGAGUGGUAAGUCAGGGAUGAAAUCCCACAGCUCAACUGUGGAACUGCCUUUGAUACUGUCAGUCUAGAGUAUAGUUGAAGUUGGCGGAAUGUGUCAUGUAGCGGUGAAAUGCUUAGAUAUGACACAGAACACCGAUCGCGAAGGCAGCUAGCUAAGCUAUAACUGACGCUCAUGCACGAAAGCGUGGGGAUCAAACAGGAUUAGAUACCCGGGUAGUC
This 462-nucleotide ribosomal RNA is filed under the name uncultured bacterium. Its description in RNAcentral is "bacterial SSU rRNA". It matches the Rfam family "Bacterial small subunit ribosomal RNA", at positions 335 to 795 of the family's 1533-position model. The record is from RNAcentral.